Molecule: ribosomal RNA, 868 nt
Filed under: uncultured bacterium
Lineage: Bacteria
Description: bacterial SSU rRNA
Rfam family: Bacterial small subunit ribosomal RNA
Source: RNAcentral
GCGUAGAAACAUACCCCAAACUGAGGGAUAAGCACCGGAAACGUGUCUAAUACCGCAUAUGGUCUUCGGAUUAAAGCUUUCGAGCGGUUUGGGAAUGGUCUGCGUAGGAUUAGCUAGUUGGUAGUGUAAUGGACUACCAAGGCGACGAUCCUUAGCUGGUCUGAGAGGAUGAUCAGCCACACUGGAACUGAGACACGGUCCAGACUCCUACGGGAGGCAGCAGUUGGGAAUUUUCCACAAUGGGGGCAACCCUGAUGGAGCAACCCGCGUGCAGGAUUAAGGCCUUCGGGUUGUAAACUGCUUUUAUAAGUGAAGAAUAUGACGGUAACUUAUGAAUAAGGGACUGCUAACUACGUGCCAGCAGCCGCGGUCAUACGUGGGUCCCAAGCGUUAUCCGGAUUUACUGGGCGUAAAGAGUUGCGUAGCGGCUUUUUAAGCGAGAUAUUAAAGCAUGCGGCUUAACCGUAGAAAUGUAUCUCGAACUGAAAAGCUAGAGUAUAGGAGAGGUCACUGGAAUUUCUAGUGUAGGAGUGAAAUCCGUAGAUAUUAGAAGGAACACCGAUGGCGUAGCAGGUGACUGGCCUAUUACUGACGCUAAGGCACGAAAGCGUGGGGAGCGAACGGGAUUAGAUACCCCGGUAGUCCACGCCGUAAACGAUGGAUGCUAGCUGUUUGAGGUAUCGACCCCUUGAGUAGCGAAUAACGCGAUAAGCAUCCCGCCUGUGGAGUACGAGCGCAAGUUAAAACAUAAAGGAAUUGACGGGGACCCGCACAAGCGUGGAGCGUGCUGUUUAAUUCGAAGAUAAGCGAAGAACCUUACCAGGGUUUGACAUCUAGCCAAUCACUAUGAAAGUAGAGAGUGCCUUCG